GGGGCUUUUUUCGUUUGGGAGGUGUCCGGUUCUGGUACGGGUGUCCUAUCCGCCGCGUAACGGCGAACGGCACCAGAGCCGCUGCAUUGGAAAAGAGAGACACACACCGAGUGACGGCAGUCUCUACAAACCUGUGAGGAGCAGACGGGGUCCCACUGGUUGCAGAUGUUGGGUGUUAGUAAUCCGGUGUAAUCCAAUGAUUAUGAGUGAUUAUGACACAUUAGCUCUGACCUACCGGGAUACCACCGUGACACCGGUUAUCCAAAACACACCACGAAGAAGCCCCAGCCCGCCUCCUGCCAGCAUCUCUGAUCUCUAUUGAUGGCCUGAAUGUUGGAGACGGUGUCGGAUCAUUUCAUUGCUUUAUGAUUACAGCAGAAAAGUGGAAAUGUCUUGCCCCGCUUUCUUCCUCUCCGUUCUCCUUUUCGGCUGAGCAUCUACAUCGUCCCCAAAAAAACCCCACAUCUGCCUUUUUGUUAUUACUUAAUUUAAGUUUUUCAUGUUUCCACUGAUGUGUGACUUUUCUCUUUGUCCAACCUUGUAAAAUGUAGCCAAUAAAGCUCC
This is a long non-coding RNA of Larimichthys crocea (large yellow croaker), 564 nucleotides long. RefSeq lists it as uncharacterized. The transcript is spliced from 3 exons. NCBI's taxonomy places the organism in Eukaryota, Metazoa, Chordata, Actinopteri, Sciaenidae. The record is from RefSeq and is a predicted model, not a curated record.